Papilio xuthus (Asian swallowtail) is the source of this 404-nucleotide long non-coding RNA. RefSeq lists it as uncharacterized. Lineage: Eukaryota; Metazoa; Arthropoda; Insecta; Lepidoptera; Papilionidae. The transcript has 3 exons. The record is from RefSeq and is a predicted model, not a curated record.
ACCACUUUUACUACAGAUAUUUUAAGACUAGUUAUAUUUUUGUGCAUCAUCAGAAGAGUCAGGUACAUCGGAGGCUGAGGAUUGCGGCUGGUCGUACGAGGAGGAAUGGCUGCUGAGCGGCAGGUCGCCGCCCAACUUGGUGGCGGGGCUGAGCGCGCCCGAGCUGCUGCAUCUCGCGCUCGGGGACCUCGUCUCCGGCUUGCUGCAGCGCGGCAAGUUCACGAUUCUCCAAGAGCUGUGUACAUACCUGGGCAGUAGCGGGGAGGGCGCGCUGUUCGCGCUGCACCGGCUGGCGCGCGCCGCUCGCUCUAGAAGCAGCGAGAGAGCUGCCAAUAAUUGGAAGUUACCGGAGUCAGUGGAUGAAGCAAGACAGUCAGUGCAGCGCUACCGGAGGCGGCCACCAG